GCCUGUGCUCUUUGAGUAUACUUGUGUACUGAGGUUUCCCCAUUGGUGUUUUCCUAUAAUACUUGGCUUUACUUACAUAUAUUGUAGAAUUCAUUCCACAGACGAUAUGACUCUUUUGCACUAGCUCGUUUUCAUAUUGGGGAAAUUCAGCAGUCAGAAAACGGUCUUUUAUUUCCUGAAUGGAUCUAAAUAAGAUGGUUAACAUUUUCUAGAAUCAUAAGUGAACUUGUAAUACUACUCCUGAGUACUAUAUAACAAAUGCAAUUCUUUAUGUGAAUCAGGAGUCAGAACCCUAGCCUGUGGGAAGGAGGAUUGCAGAAAGCAGAUAACAAUUGAAACACUCAACAGAGCAUUCACUCCUUACAGAUACGUUCAAAGACUUCCUACUAUCUUUAAAAAGCCUGCAAUUGCUUUCAUAGCAGCAUCGUGUACCUUCUAUAUUUAAUUACCGGAAUCAAUUUAGUGGUUAAGAGACUUUUGCCCAGAAUUCUAAUGCUGGAACAUUUUUAUUCGCAAUCUAUCCCAUUUGUUUUAUUAUGAUGUUUCUUUAUUGUAGUAUCUUCAAGCAAUAAUUUAUCUAAGCAUGACCUUGGUUUAGAUUGAGGUAUGUAGCUUCAAUGUUACUAAAUAUAGUGUUUGGGG
This 642-nucleotide long non-coding RNA is filed under the name Panax ginseng (ginseng). Its description in RNAcentral is "long non-coding RNA (PGIN_LNC017517)". Lineage: Eukaryota; Viridiplantae; Streptophyta; Magnoliopsida; Apiales; Araliaceae. The record is from RNAcentral.